RNAcentral lists this transfer RNA (70 nucleotides) under Marmota monax (woodchuck). RNAcentral's name for it is "tRNA.Ala". Lineage: Eukaryota; Metazoa; Chordata; Mammalia; Rodentia; Sciuridae. The record is from RNAcentral.
GGGUUGGAGCUCAGUGGCAGAGUGCUUGCCUAGCAUGUGUGAGGCAAUGGGUUCGAUCCUCAGCAACACA